This 210-nucleotide long non-coding RNA is filed under the name Nicotiana benthamiana. RNAcentral's name for it is "long non-coding RNA (NBEN_LNC010178)". Lineage: Eukaryota; Viridiplantae; Streptophyta; Magnoliopsida; Solanales; Solanaceae. The record is from RNAcentral.
UAUGGCUCGGCUCCAGGAACUCCAAAAGAUGUCGAAAAAACUGAAGUGGCCGAUGAUGUGGGUGCAACUGUCAAUAGAAUUAACCCCAAGGAACAAGAGGAAUCGUUCACCACAGGGGAUAACUGAGUUAAGUCAUGUUCAGUAUCUUCCAAUCCCUCACCGCCGCCAACACAACCACCUCCAAACCUUGAAGGUUUUAUGAGAUUUGUU